CCUACGGGAGGCAGCAGUGGGGAAUCUUGCGCAAUGGGCGAAAGCCUGACGCAGCCAUGCCGCGUGAAUGAUGAAGGUCUUAGGAUUGUAAAAUUCUUUCACCGAGGACGAUAAUGACGGUACUCGGAGAAGAAGCCCCGGCUAACUUCGUGCCAGCAGCCGCGGUAAUACGAAGGGGGCUAGCGUUGCUCGGAAUUACUGGGCGUAAAGGGAGCGUAGGCGGAUAGUUUAGUCAGAGGUGAAAGCCCAGGGCUCAACCUUGGAAUUGCCUUUGAUACUGGCUAUCUUGAGUACGGAAGAGGUAUGUGGAACUCCGAGUGUAGAGGUGAAAUUCGUAGAUAUUCGGAAGAACACCAGUGGCGAAGGCGACAUACUGGUCCGUUACUGACGCUGAGGCUCGAAAGCGUGGGGAGCAAACAGGAUUAGAUACCCUGGUAGUCCACGCUGUAAACGAUGAGUGNUAGUGUCGCAUGCAUGCAUGUCGGUGACGCAGCUACGCAUAAGACGACUCCGCCGUCGGGGAGGUACGGUCGGCGAAGUAAGUUAAAACGUUAAAGUUAGUAAGUUAGUUACGGACGUUGAGACGUGCCGACGGACGACGACGAGGGGAGGUUAGG
RNAcentral lists this ribosomal RNA (617 nucleotides) under uncultured bacterium. Its description in RNAcentral is "bacterial SSU rRNA". The stretch from base 1 to 515 matches the Rfam family "Bacterial small subunit ribosomal RNA", at positions 338 to 873 of the family's 1533-position model. The record is from RNAcentral.